RNAcentral lists this ribosomal RNA (779 nucleotides) under uncultured bacterium. RNAcentral's name for it is "bacterial SSU rRNA". It matches the Rfam family "Bacterial small subunit ribosomal RNA", at positions 8 to 796 of the family's 1533-position model. The record is from RNAcentral.
AGAGUUUGAUCCUGGCUCAGGACGAACGCUGGCGGCGUGCUUAAUACAUGCAAGUCGAACGGGGUCCAUGCAGUAGCAAUACUGCGGAAGACCUAGUGGCGAACGGGUGAGUAACACGUGAGUAACCUGCCCCGGAGACCGGGAUAACACCGGGAAACCGGUGCUAAUACCGGAUGUCCUCGUCGGGCCGCAUGACCUGACGAGGAAAUGGAUUCCGCUCUGGGAGGGACUCGCGGGCUAUCAGCUUGUUGGUGGGGUAACGGCCUACCAAGGCUACGACGGCUAGCUGGUCUGAGAGGACGACCAGCCACACUGGGACUGAGACACGGCCCAGACUCCUACGGGAGGCAGCAGUAGGGAAUCUUGCGCAAUGGGCGAAAGCCUGACGCAGCAACGCCGCGUGGGGGACGAAUGCCUUCGGGUUGUAAACCCCUUUCAGCAGGGACGAAAUUGACGGUACCUGCAGAAGAAGCCCCGGCCAACUACGUGCCAGCAGCCGCGGUAAUACGUAGGGGGCGAGCGUUGUCCGGAUUCAUUGGGCGUAAAGAGCUCGUAGGCGGCUUGGCAAGUCGGGUGUGAAAACUCCAGGCUCAACCUGGAGACGCCACCCGAUACUGCUAUGGCUGGAGUCUGGUAGGGGAUCACGGAAUUCCUGGUGUAGCGGUGAAAUGCGCAGAUAUCAGGAGGAACACCAGUGGCGAAGGCGGUGAUCUGGGCCAGUACUGACGCUGAGGAGCGAAAGCGUGGGGAGCAAACAGGAUUAGAUACCCUAGUAGUCC